CCUGAUAGCUGGUUCUUUCCGAAAUAUAUUUGGGUAUAGCGUCGGGCGCUGAUGAGUGGAGGUAGAGCACUAAAUAAGCUAGGGCCCCUACCGGGGUACUGAACUUAAUUAAACUCCGAAUACCAUUCAAUGAAGUCCGGCAGUCAGACUGUGGGGGAUAACCUUCAUAGUCGAGAGGAGAACAAUCCAAACCAUCGGUUAAGGUCCCAAAACAUAGCUCAGUGUAAAAGGAUGUGAUUUUGCUUAGACAAUGGGGAUGUUGGCUUAGAGGCAGCCAUCAUUUAAACAGUGCGUAACAGCUGACUCAUCGAGCGAUGUCGCGCCGAAAAUGAUUGGCGAUAAGCGGUAUGCCGAAGCUGCGGGUCGCGUCGAACUACGGUUCGACGCGGCGGUAGGAGAGCGUGGCCGUCCCGGCAAAGCCGUUCCGUAAGGAAUGGUGGAGGGAUGGCCAGUGAGAAUGCAGACACGAGUAGCGAUAAAACAGGUGAGAAACCUGUUCGCCGUAAGCCCAAGGGUUCCUGGGUAAAGUUAAUCUUCCCAGGGUUAGUCGGAUCCUAAGGCGAGGCUGAAAAGCGUAGUUGAUGGGAAACGGGUUAAUAUUCCCGUACCAGUAAGUGGAGUACAGGCGGGACACCGUCGGAUAGCUCAGCCUCUGAGUGGAUUGAGGUGGCAAGCGGGUCAUACCCGUGACGCCGGGACUUCGGUCCAGAAGUGAGCCAGUCUGAGGGUCAAGAAAAGCGCACUGGCGUUGAAGCGAGCUGCACGUACCGCAAACCGACACUGGUAGACGGGUAGAAUAUACCAAGGCGCUUGAGAGAACUCGGGUGAAGGAACUAGGCAAAAUGGCACCGUAACUUCGGGAGAAGGUGUGCCGCCUGGGGUGUAGGAGCUUGCCUCCGAAGCCCUGGACGGUCGCAGUGAAAAGUCCCAGGCGACUGUUUACUAAAAACACAGGUCUGUGCGAACGCGGAAGCGGACGUAUACGGGCUGACGCCUGCCCAGUGCCGGAAGGUUAAGGAAGUCGGUCAGCGCAAGCGAAGCUGGCGACCGAAGCCCCGAUAAACGGCGGCCGUAACUAUGACGGGCCUAAGGUAGCGAAGUUCCUUGUCGGGUAAGUUCCGACCCGCACGAAAGGCGUAACGAUCUGGGCACUGUCUCGGAGAGAGACUCGGUGAAAUAGACAUGUCCGUGAAGAUGCGGACUACCCGCACCCGGACAGAAAGACCCUAUGAAGCUUCACUGUUUCCUGGGAUUGGCUUUGGGUUCUUCCUGCGUAGCUUAGGUGGAAGGCGAGGAAGGCCCCCUUCCGGGGGGGCUCGAGCCAUCAGUGAAAUACCACUCUAGGAGAGCCGAAAUUCUAACCUUGCGCCACUCACAGGCCAAGGGACAGUCUCAGGUAGACAGUUUCUAUGGGGCGUAGGCCUCCCAAAGGGUAACGGAGGCGUACGAAGGUUCUCUCAGGCUGAUUGGAAACCAGCCGUCGAGUGUAAAGGCACAAGAGAGCUUGACUGUGAG
This 1515-nucleotide ribosomal RNA is filed under the name Selaginella bryopteris. Its description in RNAcentral is "bacterial LSU rRNA". It matches the Rfam family "Bacterial large subunit ribosomal RNA", at positions 841 to 2379 of the family's 2925-position model. Lineage: Eukaryota; Viridiplantae; Streptophyta; Lycopodiopsida; Selaginellales; Selaginellaceae. The record is from RNAcentral.